This 511-nucleotide ribosomal RNA is filed under the name uncultured bacterium. RNAcentral's name for it is "bacterial SSU rRNA". It matches the Rfam family "Bacterial small subunit ribosomal RNA", at positions 1001 to 1509 of the family's 1533-position model. The record is from RNAcentral.
CAGAGAUGCUUUAGUUGCCUUCGGGAACGUCUGAGACAGGUGCUGCAUGGCUGUCGUCAGCUCGUGUUGUGAAAUGUUGGGUUAAGUCCCGNAACGAGCGCAACCCUUAUCCUUUGUUGCCAGCACGUAAUGGUGGGAACUCAAAGGAGACUGCCGGUGAUAAACCGGAGGAAGGUGGGGAUGACGUCAAGUCAUCAUGGCCCUUACGAGUAGGGCUACACACGUGCUACAAUGGCGCAUACAAAGAGAAGCGACCUCGCGAGAGCAAGCGGACCUCAUAAAGUGCGUCGUAGUCCGGAUUGGAGUCUGCAACUCGACUCCAUGAAGUCGGAAUCGCUAGUAAUCGUAAAUCAGAAUGUUACGGUGAAUACGUUCCCGGGCCUUGUACACACCGCCCGUCACACCAUGGGAGUGGGUUGCAAAAGAAGUAGAUAGCUUAACCUUCGGGAGGGCGUUUACCACUUUGUGAUUCAUGACUGGGGUGAAGUCGUAACAAGGUAAGCGUAGUGCU